This 180-nucleotide small nuclear RNA is filed under the name Ancylostoma ceylanicum. Its description in RNAcentral is "U2 spliceosomal RNA". It matches the Rfam family "U2 spliceosomal RNA". From Rfam's summary of the family: U2 is a small nuclear RNA (snRNA) component of the spliceosome (involved in pre-mRNA splicing). Lineage: Eukaryota; Metazoa; Nematoda; Chromadorea; Rhabditida; Ancylostomatidae. The record is from Rfam by way of RNAcentral.
AUCGCUUCUCGGCCUUUUGGCUAAGAUCAAAGUUUAGUUUCUGUUCUUAUCGAAUUAACCUUCGAUAGAGAUUCGAAUGAGUCUCGUUAAGGUUAUUUGAUUUUUGGGACUGCUGCUUUGCUCGCACCCCAUCGCGGGUUGGCCUAGCGUUGCACUGCUGCUGGGAUCGGCCCACCUCCU